RNAcentral lists this ribosomal RNA (502 nucleotides) under uncultured bacterium. RNAcentral describes it as "partial 16S ribosomal RNA". It matches the Rfam family "Bacterial small subunit ribosomal RNA", at positions 30 to 522 of the family's 1533-position model. The record is from RNAcentral.
AUUGAACGCUGGCGGCAGGCUUAACACAUGCAAGUCGAGCGGGGUGAUGGUGCUUGCACUAUCACUUAGCGGCGGACGGGUGAGUAAUGCUUAGGAAUCUGCCUAUUAGUGGGGGACGACAUCUCGAAAGGGAUGCUAAUACCGCAUACGUCCUACGGGAGAAAGCAGAGGAUCACUUGUGACCUUGCGCUAAUAGAUGAGCCUAAGUCGGAUUAGCUAGUUGGUGGGGUAAAGGCCUACCAAGGCGACGAUCUGUAGCGGGUCUGAGAGGAUGAUCCGCCACACUGGGACUGAGACACGGCCCAGACUCCUACGGGAGGCAGCAGUGGGGAAUAUUGGACAAUGGGGGGAACCCUGAUCCAGCCAUGCCGCGUGUGUGAAGAAGGCCUUAUGGUUGUAAAGCACCUUAAGCGAGGAGGAGGCUCUUUUGGUUAAUACCCAAGAUGAGUGGACGUUACUCGCAGAAUAAGCACCGGCUAACUCUGUGCCAGCCGCCGCCUAA